CGGAGGAUCCAAGCGUUAUCCGGAAUCAGUUGGGUUUAAAGGGUCCGUAGGCGGUUUGAUAAGUCAGUGGUGAAAGCCCAUCGCUCAACGAUGGAACGGCCAUUGAUACUGUCAGACUUGAAUUACUGGGAAGUAACUAGAAUAUGUAGUGUAGCGGUGAAAUGCUUAGAUAUUACAUGGAAUACCAAUUGCGAAGGCAGGUUACUACCAGUGGAUUGACGCUGAUGGACGAAAGCGUGGGGAGCGAACAGGAUUAGAUACCCUGGUAGUCCACGCCGUAAACGAUGGAUACUAGCUGUUGGGCGCAAGUUCAGUGGCUAAGCGAAAGUGAUAAGUAUCCCACCUGGGGAGUACGUUCGCAAGAAUG
This 367-nucleotide ribosomal RNA is filed under the name uncultured organism. RNAcentral describes it as "bacterial SSU rRNA". It matches the Rfam family "Bacterial small subunit ribosomal RNA", at positions 526 to 896 of the family's 1533-position model. The record is from RNAcentral.